This 440-nucleotide ribosomal RNA is filed under the name Chryseobacterium sp. SFA1.B73. RNAcentral describes it as "bacterial SSU rRNA". It matches the Rfam family "Bacterial small subunit ribosomal RNA", at positions 318 to 755 of the family's 1533-position model. Lineage: Bacteria; Pseudomonadati; Bacteroidota; Flavobacteriia; Flavobacteriales; Weeksellaceae. The record is from RNAcentral.
ACUGAGACACGGACCAGACUCCUACGGGAGGCAGCAGUGAGGAAUAUUGGACAAUGGGUGAGAGCCUGAUCCAGCCAUCCCGCGUGAAGGACGACGGCCCUAUGGGUUGUAAACUUCUUUUGUAUAGGGAUAAACCUUUCCACGUGUGGAAAGCUGAAGGUACUAUACGAAUAAGCACCGGCUAACUCCGUGCCAGCAGCCGCGGUAAUACGGAGGGUGCAAGCGUUAUCCGGAUUUAUUGGGUUUAAAGGGUCCGUAGGCGGGCUCGUAAGUCAGUGGUGAAAUCUCAUAGCUUAACUAUGAAACUGCCAUUGAUACUGCGAGCCUUGAGUAAGGUAGAGGUAGCUGGAAUAAGUAGUGUAGCGGUGAAAUGCAUAGAUAUUACUUAGAACACCAAUUGCGAAGGCAGGUUACCAUGUCUUAACUACAGAGUUUGAUCA